CCAGACUCCUACGGGAGGCAGCAGUGGGGAAUUUUGCGCAAUGGGGGAAACCCUGACGCAGCAACGCCGCGUGCGGGACGAAGGCCUUCGGGUUGUAAACCGCUUUCAGCAGGGACGAAUUCCGACGGUACCUGCAGAAGAAGCCCCGGCUAACUACGUGCCAGCAGCCGCGGUAAUACGUAGGGGGCGAGCGUUAUCCGGAUUCAUUGGGCGUAAAGCGCGCGUAGGCGGCGCGUCAAGCGGGACCUCUAACCCCGGGGCUCAACCCCGGGCCGGGUCCCGGACUGGCGCGCUCGAGUGCGGUAGAGGCGAGUGGAAUUCCCGGUGUAGCGGUGGAAUGCGCAGAUAUCGGGAAGAACACCGAUGGCGAAGGCAGCUCGCUGGGCCGACACUGACGCUGAGGCGCGAAAGCUGGGGGAGCGAACAGGAUUAGAUACCCCAGUA
Molecule: ribosomal RNA, 444 nt
Filed under: uncultured bacterium
Lineage: Bacteria
Description: bacterial SSU rRNA
Rfam family: Bacterial small subunit ribosomal RNA
Source: RNAcentral